Molecule: transfer RNA, 86 nt
Filed under: Dickeya lacustris
Lineage: Bacteria; Pseudomonadati; Pseudomonadota; Gammaproteobacteria; Enterobacterales; Pectobacteriaceae
Description: tRNA-Leu
Rfam family: tRNA
About the family: Transfer RNA (tRNA) molecules are approximately 80 nucleotides in length. Their secondary structure includes four short double-helical elements and three loops (D, anti-codon, and T loops).
Source: RNAcentral
GCGAAGGUGGCGGAAUUGGUAGACGCGCUAGCUUCAGGUGUUAGUGUGCUUAGGACGUGAGGGUUCAAGUCCCUCUCUUCGCACCA